AUUAAAAAUGCUGGAAUUUUUUUUUUUCACUGAGAUGUCUCUACCUCUUAGAGCAAGAGCUGGGUGAUAUUAAAUCCAACCUCCUUUUAUGAUUUUGACCAUUUCACUCACUGGAAUUCACUGGAAGUGUAGCUGGUUAAAAUAGCUCUCAGCUUCUCUGCUCACCAGCAUGGGGGUUGGGGAUAAAACUAGAAGUAACUUCUAUUGAGAUUUUGUCCAGAUGUCUUAGAUCUGUGCUCUUCCUAUUUGGAUGUGGUGCAGAGAAAUAUUUGUGUAGUUCUUUUUGCUGGGGUAGUGUUCUAAAUGGAACUUUGGACCAUCAUUUGGAGCAAUACUCUGGAGAUAUUAUAUCCUUGUACCCCCCUCCCCCAGGGUAGAGUAGAUGAGUAUCUCAGCAGAACCUCAGGAUUCUAGCAGCUCCCCAGAUUUCUACUCAUAGGGCAAGGUACCCGCCACUCUGGGUGGAUGUUGCAUGGUACCCCACCAUUAAACAUGAACUUCCAAGCCUCCAUCCCUAAAUAUAAUCUGAUUCUUUUCAGCUGGUCAUUUACUCCAGUGUUCAAAGGGAUAGCUGGUUGUCUUCCCCUAUAACACACUGUCUUGUUCAAUGUCCUCAAUCCUUUCCAGUUGGUCUUUCAUAUCACAGAGCCCAGAGGGAGAGCAGGUUGCACUCUCCCCCAUAUCUCUGUCUUGAAUCUCCUGUAUCUACUACUGUUCUCUAUAACUGCUUUUGCCAGGUGCACUUUUAAGUCACUUUGUAAUCAUUGCCCAAGGCAGAGUGGAAGUAUUUGCCAAGAACCCUUGGGUUCCCAUAGGAACAAGAUUCAUUAUAAACCCCUCAAGCUGGACCUCCAUCUCAGUUCUUCACUUAUCAGUUGAGAAUCAUGGAGCACAAACAACUCUGCUGCGAGUCUUUGUUUCAGCUAAUUACAGGCUGCCUUCUUCAGGUUUUUAUGUGCCAAAUUUGUUCACCACGUUUCUCUUUCCCUUUGUGUUGCGCUUCCCUUGUCAGUGACAGAGCAGCCCUGCUGCUGCUGGGCUCUGGUGUAUUUCCUUAGACCCUUUGUUCACAACACCAGACUCUCUGGGCUUCUCCUAAUCUCUGCCAGACAAAUAUUGACUCACAUUGAUUUUCUCCAGAUGUCUACCUUGUUACGAAGCAGUAUUCCUGUUGUUUCAAUUCCAAACAGCAGAGUGUGGGAAGUGCCUUCUACUUCACCAUUUCAGAUCCUUCCCGUGUGUAUUUUAACAAUUUCUUUUUCAAGUAGCUUAAGUCUAACUCAUUUUUCAGAAUGAUGCAAGAGCAUUUACUAUUUUUUCAAAAUAGCAAGUACCAGAUCUAGUGUGUUGCCAUCCGGUGUGUACCUGGUGUCUCAGUCCUACAACAAAAUCCACUGGACUCAGUGUUGUGGGAAUGGGUUUUGUGACUCAACCAAGGAGUGGAUCAGGGACAGUCAGUUGGACGAGAGGCACCAUGAGGAUUUCAGAUGGCAUCAGCAUGGUUGUCUUUACAGCUGGAAUGGUGGUCACUGCCACCUUUGUGUUCUCUGCAGUGACACCCCUGGAGGACCCUGUCUUUCUAUACCAGUGAACAGUCUUCAGUUCUUUCUGCUCCUGUCGACUACUUGUUACCAGCCUGAGAACUCCGUUUAACUUAACGGGAAGGAACCCGGCCUGUCUGCACUUGGAGGUCCGUCUCAAGCUUUCUUCUGUUAUGAUCAGUGCCUUCUGCUGAUCCUGGAGAACCUCCUCUCGUAUUUUAGGUGUUUUGUUCAUUAUGUUUACUUUUUUGGAACUAUGUAAGCCUGAC
Molecule: long non-coding RNA, 1810 nt
Filed under: Marmota monax (woodchuck)
Lineage: Eukaryota; Metazoa; Chordata; Mammalia; Rodentia; Sciuridae
Source: RNAcentral